UACGUAGGGUGCGAGCGUUUAUCGGAAUUACUGGGCGUAAAGCGUGCGCAGGCGGUUCGUUGUGUCUGAUGUGAAAGCCCCGGGCUCAACCUGGGAAUGGCAUUGGAAACUGGCGAGCUGGAGUGCGGCAGAGGGGGGUGGAAUUCCGCGUGUAGCAGUGAAAUGCGUAGAGAUGCGGAGGAACACCGAUGGCGAAGGCAGCCCCCUGGGCCGACACUGACGCUCAGGCACGAAAGCGUGGGGAGCAAACAGG
This 253-nucleotide ribosomal RNA is filed under the name uncultured bacterium. RNAcentral describes it as "partial 16S ribosomal RNA". It matches the Rfam family "Bacterial small subunit ribosomal RNA", at positions 524 to 776 of the family's 1533-position model. The record is from RNAcentral.